This 667-nucleotide long non-coding RNA is filed under the name Trifolium pratense (red clover). RNAcentral describes it as "long non-coding RNA (TPRA_LNC009281)". The record is from RNAcentral. Lineage: Eukaryota; Viridiplantae; Streptophyta; Magnoliopsida; Fabales; Fabaceae.
CUGAAACCACUUUGUACCCUAGAUGUGGAGUCAAGUACUUUGUUGCUGAUCUAACGUUAUCUGUAACAGGAUAACCAUAAAGGCAGUUGAUGGGUACUUCACAAAGCAUGCUGAGGGACAGUAGUGACCCAGAUGGAAUUUGCCAAUCCUGCAUAACAGGAUAAAUGUCAUGGGCCCAAUAUUGAACUGGACAAAGAUGACACCAAGUAUGUUUUGUGUUCAAUAUAGACAUAAAGGGCAAAGGGGUAAUUAUACACAAUGAUAUUAUCACAAGAGGUUAUGUUUAGAUCACAUGUUAAUUUCUCGUAACUUGAGUAGCAGUGAUGUGUUGCUAGAUACCGCUCACUGUUUAUUGUAAUAAAUAGUGAUUUAUUAUAAUUGUCNNNNNNNNNNNNNNNAGGGUCACACACAUAAGAACAAUCUAGUGAGAUUGGAACACCGUAAGGUACGGUGCACCUUGGAGAAAUAAGGAAAUAUGAUAAGGGUAUUAUGGUAAUUAAAAUGAGCAUUACAUCAUAUGGUGUGAUGUAGCAAGAAGGGGGUGCAAAUAUGUACUAGACAUAUUUACAUGAGAAUGGCGCCCACUAUAGCCCAUUUAGUUAAAAGGGCUUUAGUGUAAUUUUGCCAUGGCAAGUGGUUCUAUAAAUAGAACCCUUGUGGUAAGGAG